AGGUUCUCCUUUUUGUGUUGCCGCAGGUGUCCUCAUAAUGAGAUCUUAAUGAACAUGAAAAAGAAAGCAACGCAAGUGAAAAGUUGAGCGUCGGAUAAUAUAUACUCUGCCCAUGAUACUACCAUUGCAAAUCUCUGGCGUGGUUUCAAUGUUACCAAAAAGCUUGAGUUCCCUUCCUAUGGAGCAGCGCUGAUGAUCGAGCUCCACGAGAUCGACGGGAAAUAUCAAGUGAAAAUACUUUACAAAAGGAGUCACCUCGAUGACGACUUGAUAAAGCUGAAAAUCGAGGGCUGCAAGGACAGUCAGGGCGAGGAAACUGAUGCAAUGUGCGAUCUCCAUAUUUUCUCAUCAGCAUUACGACCUGUCGUCAUUGAAAACUUUGACGAGGCCUGUGAAGUCCCAAAUGAGCAAAUUUGACUCUCUACCUUUAUCCUUUCAUUUUGUGAUCGGAGAUGAAUAAGGAAAUGAAUAAGACAUAAAAAUCACAGAAAAUAAACAUUAGUUUUUAUACAAUUUACAGUUUACUUUCAUACGAGUACUCUAUACAAAACCGGUAUGCGUUGAGGAUGGUUCCAAUAUUACCUGCUUGAAACAUCUUUUCUUGAACCCUCUCCUUCUUAAAACGUUUUCGUGACGUAGAGUAGACCCAAACUCUCGUUCUAACAUACUUCAGAUAUGAGUAUGGCUCAUUUUAUCGCUCUUGAGAGCUUAACUAAUUUCUCUCCCUCUUCUUUUUCUCUCCUUCUUAUGUUAUGACAGGUUAAUUUUAAGUCUCAAAUUCAUCUAAUUUUGUUUACGAUAGAUGUCAAUUUAGGUGCAAAAAGAAUAUAGGGAGAGUGAUAGAACACUAAAAUGACUUAUUGUUCAUUUACUCACUAUUUUUUAAGUUCAAUUGAAAGUUUAAAAUUAUAGUCUUAAUUUACUUUAAAACAAUGCACUUGUCACACAGAGUGCUUUAAACUUUUAAGCCAUGCCGCCAAAAAAUGUGAUAUGAUUUUUCUUAUUUGAAAAUACUUCAACCGCUAGUAAAGCAAAUGUUUCCCAUGUGCUUAAAUUUAGCAUAUCUUUGUCGUUGUACACCUUCGCAAAGUACUCGGCAACAUAAUUUAUCUCAAAAUUAAAAAUUUAUCACUCUUGGUAAGUAUAAUCACAUUUUUUGUGACAAAAUUUCAGCAUGUGACAUUGAACUUACAUCUGCACUUCCACGUGAACGUUGAGGACUUGCAGGAUUAAGUUUUUAGAGGGUCUCUGUUCUUUAUCUCUUUUUUAGUGCGCCGUGAGUGGCUCAAGAGACCUUACCGAGAAACAAAUAUAUUCAGUGCAAAAAAGGCUUUUUUAAUUAUACAACAGACUAAUGAUUUGAUGAUACAAUCUAGGUUCUUUUCAUCGCAGAGUUUAUUUGAAGAAAGCAAGUACUUAACCCUCAAAAUCAGUUUUCUCCUUCUCUCACUCUAAGUUCGAAGAUUGUCUUUGCUCCCACGUCACAGUAUAGUGAACACGGUUAACUUCUCUGAUUUAUAAGAUCAGGUUCAAGCGAAUAUCAAGAUGAAUCGUUGCACUAAAGCGCCCAAAAAAAGUGUUUUCUUGGUUGUGGUGCUACUAUAAUCUCAAUUUUUACCGCGUGUUUUGGAUUCUACAUUUUAAGACACAGCCCAACGGGUGAGCCUACGCUGAGGUUUGUCAGCAUAGUGAGUAUAUAAUUUUAAAGUGUUUUGAACUUUUCUUGAGCUCUAAGUUAAGUAUUCUCACUUCAAACGUGUUACGGAUUACCGUAAGGGCGAAUUCUUUAUAAAUGCAUGGAAUAGAACGCGAAAUGAAAUAUUUUAUAUACAAUGAACUUCAAUAGGAAAUACUGUAAAUAUUUUAA
Molecule: long non-coding RNA, 1867 nt
Filed under: Bemisia tabaci
Lineage: Eukaryota; Metazoa; Arthropoda; Insecta; Hemiptera; Aleyrodidae
Description: lncRNA ENSSSA3NGG012970
Source: RNAcentral